Molecule: ribosomal RNA, 698 nt
Filed under: Phaeocollybia piceae
Lineage: Eukaryota; Fungi; Basidiomycota; Agaricomycetes; Agaricales; Phaeocollybiaceae
Description: eukaryotic LSU rRNA
Rfam family: 5.8S ribosomal RNA (bases 281-434)
Source: RNAcentral
UCUUGGUCAAUUUAGAGGAAGUAAAAGUCGUAACAAGGUUUCCGUAGGUGAACCUGCGGAAGGAUCAUUAUUGAAAUAAACUUGGUGUGGGUUGUAGCUGGCCUUUCUUGGGCAUGUGCUCGCCUUCAUCAUCUUUGUAUUUCCACCUGUGCACCUUCUGUAGACAAGAAAGAAAAAAAGGAAUUUAUUCCUUAAAUAUUCCUUGUCUAUUUUUUAUAUACUCCAAAAUAUAACAGAAUGUUAAUCUAUGGGACUUGUGCCUAUAAACAAAAAAUUAUACAACUUUCAGCAACGGAUCUCUUGGCUCUCGCAUCGAUGAAGAACGCAGCGAAAUGCGAUAAGUAAUGUGAAUUGCAGAAUUCAGUGAAUCAUCGAAUCUUUGAACGCACCUUGCGCUCCUUGGUAUUCCGAGGAGCAUGCCUGUUUGAGUGUCAUUAAAUUCUCAAAAAAAACUUUGGUAGUAUUAUUAUUAUUAUCAAUGGCUUUGUUUUGGAUGUGAGGGUUUGUUGGCGUAAGUCGACUCCCUUGAAAUGAAUUAGCUUGGUUGACUGGACUUUUGUCUAUUGGUGUGAUAAUUAUCUACGCCAUUGGAUUGUCUGCUUGUCGAACUGCUUCUAAUUGUCCCAUUGGGACUUUAUUAAUGACUAUUUGACCUCAAAUCAGGUAGGACUACCCGCUGAACUUAAGCAUAUCAAUAG